AGUGGCGCACGGGUGAGUAACACGUGAAUUAUCUACCUCCGAGUGGGGAAUAACCUAGAGAAAUCUGGGCUAAUACCGCAUAACACUUACGAGUCAAAGCAGCAAUGCGCUUGGAGAGGAGUUCGCGGCCGAUUAGUUAGUUGGCGGGGUAAUGGCCCACCAAGACGAUGAUCGGUAUCCGGCCUGAGAGGGCGCACGGACACACUGGAACUGAAACACGGUCCAGACUCCUACGGGAGGCAGCAGUGGGGAAUUUUGCGCAAUGGGGGAAACCCUGACGCAGCAACGCCGCGUGGAGGAUGAAAUCCCUUGGGAUGUAAACUCCUUUCGAUCGGGACGAUUAUGACGGUACCGGAAGAAGAAGCCCCGGCUAAAUUUUUUUUUCGCGACAGCAGCCGAAAAAAUAGGAGGGGGGCAAGCUUUUUCGUAAUUAUUGGGCGUAAAGGGCGCGUAGGCGGUUUGACAAGUCUGAUGUGAAAUCUCUGGGCUCAACCCAAAGUCUGCAUUAGA
RNAcentral lists this ribosomal RNA (510 nucleotides) under uncultured bacterium. RNAcentral's name for it is "partial 16S ribosomal RNA". It matches the Rfam family "Bacterial small subunit ribosomal RNA", at positions 94 to 630 of the family's 1533-position model. The record is from RNAcentral.